GUAGCCGCACGUUUCAAGCACACAAACUGAAAACGCGAAAGCAAUUAUCAUCAUCUGGAGAAAACAGAACAUAGUAACGUUCUUCUUUGUUCAUGAAUUCCUACCAACUUUACAUGUUCUACUCUCCAUUCCGCGUUCUGACAUCUCCAUGCACAAAGCCACCAAACACGCCUCUCUUUCUUUUGUUUCAUGCCAACACAAACUCUAUCUUCUUCCCCUCACCAACCCUCCUUUGUUCGUCCCUCAGCGAUGACUCCUUUUCCACCCCUAAACCAAACCAGGCACUCUCUCUCUCUCUCUUUUUAUUCUCUUACAUUGUUUUUUACUUUUUUUAUUGUUAUUGUCUACGUUUAAACCUUAAAGCAAACAAAACCGCGACAUUAUUUAUUUAUUUAUGUUUGGAUGAUACAAUGAUGUUUCUGUGAUAGUUGGGUUACAAUCCUUCCGAGGAACUGUACGGGCUGGAGGUCGAACUCAAGCCAAGCAAGGCUAACUCUCAUACACCAGAACCAAAGUCUUGGUUUGGUCCACAUGGACAGUAUAUCAAAGAGCUACCUUGUCCAAGUUGCCGGGGAAGAGGUUAUACUCCCUGUUCAGAGUGUGGAAUAGAAAGAUCAAGGCCAGACUGUCCAAAAUGUCAUGGAAAGGGUAUACUGACUUGCAACCAGUGCUAUGGAGAUUGUGUUAUAUGGGAAGAAUCAAUUGACGAACAACCAUGGGAGAGAGCCCGUUCUAUUUCUCCACUUAAAGUGAUGGAAGAUGAUGAAGUUGACAAGUUAGACAUAAAGCUAGAUGUGAAGAAAAAAUCCAAGCGUGUCUACCAGUCACCAUCUCCAGAAGUCGGAUUAAAGAUUAGUCGUUCAUUAAAAUUUAAUAAUUGCAGAGUCUCAAUGCCAAAACUGGUCUAUUUAGUAACCGAAUGAAGAUUAUCCAUCGGGAUCCCAAGCUUCGGGCACAGCGAGUGGCUGCUAUUAAGAGGGCCAAGGGAACUGUUGCAGCAAGAAAGCACAUUUCCAAAGUUAUGAAAGCUUUCUUUAGUGAUCCAAUAAACCGUCAGAAAAGGAGCAUGGCCAUGAAGGGUGUGAAAUUCUACUGCCAAAACUGUGGACGUGAAGGGCAUAGACGAAACUACUGUCCCGAACUCAAGGAUAGUUUGAUUGACCGGCGAUUCACAUGUAGUUUAUGUGGGGAAAAGGGCCACAACAGAAGGACAUGUAGAAAGUUAAGAAUAAGCCAUAGCAAUGGGAAAGUUAUAAAACACCAUAGAUGUAAAAUAUGUCGCCAAUAUGGCCAUAACAGCAGGACAUGCUCUCAAGUUGUUCCUAAUAAACGAAGGGUUAAGGCUUCUCGAAAAGCAUACCAAUGUCGGUUAUGCCAGAAAGAGGGACAUAAUAUUAGGACAUGUCCUAGUAGAGGUGUUGUAACUGAACAUCCAUAAGAUUAAUAAGCCUACUGUGAGAAACACAAGCGCCUCAACCUAAAUCUUAAUGUGGACGGUAAUCAGAACUGGAAAAAUUUUGCUCAAUCUUUUGUAUCUGCAGCACAACCCGUUGAGUAAUGCCAAUUAGCCAAAACAUUGACAAAAUUCAGCUAGGUUUAAGGGUGGCUGUUGGAUGAGAUGAAAUAAUAGUAGGGGUAUAGCAUUCAGCUUAUCUUAAUUUGUUUCAAGUCUAUCAUCGUGUUAUCUCAAAAUGGGAAUGCAACAUACGUAGAGCAUCUUGGAUGUAUUGAAAUUUCCACCAUCUAGUUUGAUGUUAUGGAUGGAGGUUUUGAAUUUUUAGUCAUUUUACCAAAUUUUACAUCAGACUAUGUUAUGUUAUUUCAUGUAUUUGCAUUCUUAAUAAGUUGUAUUAUUAUAUGUUUAAAUACGUUUCUAGUUUCUUAAAAAAUGACAUUCUUUG
Molecule: RNA transcript, 1901 nt
Organism: Abrus precatorius (Indian licorice)
Lineage: Eukaryota; Viridiplantae; Streptophyta; Magnoliopsida; Fabales; Fabaceae
Gene name: zinc finger CCHC domain-containing protein 9
Exons: 7
Source: RefSeq, a predicted model, not a curated record